UACGUAGGGUGCGAGCGUUGCCCGGAUUUAUUGGGCGUAAAGGGCGCGUAGGCGGCCACGCACGUCCGUUGUGAAAUCGCCCGGCUCAACUGGGCGGGGUCAGCGGAUACGGUGUGGCUCGAGCAAGCUAGGGGGCAAUGGAAUUCCCGGUGUAGUGGUGGAAUGCGUAGAUAUCGGGAGGAACACCAGUGGCGAAGGCGGUUGCCUGGAGCUUUGCUGACGCUGAGGCACGAAAGCGUGGGGAGCAAACAGG
This 253-nucleotide ribosomal RNA is filed under the name uncultured bacterium. Its description in RNAcentral is "partial 16S ribosomal RNA". It matches the Rfam family "Bacterial small subunit ribosomal RNA", at positions 524 to 776 of the family's 1533-position model. The record is from RNAcentral.